This 408-nucleotide ribosomal RNA is filed under the name uncultured bacterium. RNAcentral's name for it is "bacterial SSU rRNA". It matches the Rfam family "Bacterial small subunit ribosomal RNA", at positions 355 to 772 of the family's 1533-position model. The record is from RNAcentral.
UAGGGAAUUGUUCGCAAUGGGGGCAACCCUGACGAAGCAACGCCGCGUGGGUGAUGAAGUCUCUUGGGACGUAAAACCCUUUCGACAGGGAAGAAACCGCAAGGUUGACGGUACCUGUAGAAGAAGCCCCGGCUAACUCCGUGCCAGCAGCCGCGGUAAUACGGGGGGGGCAAGCGUUGGUCGGAAUUACUGGGCGUAAAGGGCGCGUAGGCGGUCUACUAAGUUGGAUGUGAAAACUCUGGGCUUAACUCAGAGCCUGCAUUCAAAACUGAUAGGCUGGAGUUCUGGAGGGGAUAGCGGAAUUCCUGGUGUAGCGGUGAAAUGCGUAGAUAUCAGGAGGAACACCGGUGGCGAAGGCGGCUAUCUGGACAGAAACUGACGCUGAGGCGCGAAAGCUAGGGGAGCAAA